GGAACGCGAGGGAUGGUAAAUUCUCUCUCUUCUCUCUCUUAAAUUUUUGGGAGAAAAAAAGACAAUCGCGGUGGUCUCUUCGUUGCCGACUCCGGUAUACGGUGGUUCCUUUGAUGCUGUGUAGCCGGUUCUUGACUCCGGUGGUUCGCAUUCUCCUUGGCGGAAUCAUCCGGCUUUUGACUCCGGUGGUUUCGCUUUCGCCUUGGCGGAAUCAUCCAGCCUUGGUUCGUUAUUCUCCAACAUCGAUUGAUCUUUGCUCUGACGAAUAUUGGAGUUCGUUUUUGGAGUUUCGAUCUCGAGUAGAGUUAGCUAUUAUGUUUCGACUGAGUUUGGUGGUUUGAGUUAGGAUGAAAUAUCGAUAGAUUCGAUUGAAGCUCUCCGAAACUCAGGUUUGUGUUCGUCGCUAUUGAAUUCCCUAAUCUUCCAAUACAGUUGUUGGAAGUUUAUUCAGUAGUUGUGGUAUGAGUUCCCGGGAGAAUCCGGAGAUUAAACGUUCUGGUUGAUCCGAUGAGGACUUCUGUCGGAGAAGAUAAUGGAGGUGUGUGUGAUCGUCGUGCCUCCGGUGUGGCACGGUGGAUUCCGGUGUUUUCGUCGUUCAGGUCUCCGGUGGUGAAGCUCGAGGCGGCGAAAGCGGUGAUGUGGGGCAUGUGUAACGCGUGUUUGCUCCUCGUUGUUUGAGGUUUCAACACGUGGCCCACCUUUGCUGUUUCUUUGGACGUGUGUGUCGGUUUUGUUUUUUUUUGGGUUGGGCUGUUAUGUUGUGGUGGGCCUUUGGGGUAUGUGUUGUAUGUGUGAGUACGGGCUUUUACUCUUUGGACUUAGA
RNAcentral lists this long non-coding RNA (823 nucleotides) under Brassica napus (rape). RNAcentral's name for it is "long non-coding RNA (BNAP_LNC014336)". The record is from RNAcentral. Lineage: Eukaryota; Viridiplantae; Streptophyta; Magnoliopsida; Brassicales; Brassicaceae.